CGAGCAGCCGCGCCGCCGGAGCUUGCGAACCCCGCCGCCACCUCGACUCCUCCGCGUCCGGUGCGAUGCCGGAGAACCCGUCGCAUCUGGGCGAGCUUACCAUCGAGAAGCAGCCGCCGUGCUUUGACUUUUCCCGUCCUUCCCUGCUCUUAUCUCACCUUUCUCUGCCUUGCCUCCACAGGGAGACCAGGACGCCGGCGGCAUGCGGAACGACGCCGCCCCAACUGGAUCCACACCCUCCUCCAUUGCCUGCUCUCGAGCCAUCAGUCCUCGGCUCGAAUCGGUCUUGCUGGUAGCCGUCGUCGCCAAAUCUUAGCUUGGCCGCCCGCUGAAAGAUCCAGCACCCUUGCGCCUCUCACCGUCGAUGGCGGUAGGAAUGACGGAGCCGUGCAUGUGGCGGCGCCCAUGUGGUGCGAGCAGAGCAACCGCCUUGCGGAGCGCCUGCAGGGCUGCAGCACGCCCUGCCUCGAGCAGCACGCAUGGGUCGUGGCUGAGACAUCAGAGGAGCUUCAGCAGAAGGCGGUGAUCCAAUAGUACUCCUUCCAGUAAUGUGUACAGAGAACGAGGAUGCCAAGCCAAAUUUGUUCAACGAGGAUUUCAAGUUUGAGUUCUGAAGACCGUUAGAGAAUUGAACUGGUGGUGAGUUCAAUGAUAUCCAAAAUUGUUGGUCAAACAUGAAAGGAUGCACAUUCGUUUUUGAAGACUGAAAAAACAUUUCAUGAAGCAACCUUGAGGUGCCGCCAUGGCAACAUCCAUGAGACUAUAAAGAUCCUGAGGGAAAGAGUUGCGAUGGGCCGAUGGCGCAUCUAUUCACACCAUGGACAUUCAUCGCCUACUACUGAUGCGCCCACUCUGAAGGCAAGCAAAAGAUGCUAUUCCUAAAGGUUGUUGUUGACACCCAAAAAGCUCCUCGGUAAACAUGUUCCUCUCCGGCACAUCACUUGGUGGAUCUAGAGGGGCAACCAUCAGCUUAUGAAAAAGGGCAACUAAACUGGCUGCUAUUGUUCCUUACCAAGAGUAAUUUCCCUAGUGCCUAACAUACAAUUUGGUUUGUUGCAUCAUGAUAAGGUCUUCAUGAUGUGCACAGGCAUGCGUAUUUUUACAUUUAAUCUGUUUUCCUAUCUUACAUCCAUGCAUUCACAUAUUAGAGGAUAAAUAUGUUGCAGGCUCUUAUCUACAUGCAUGAAUGUUAAAUCUGUGUCCAAUGGUAAAGUUGGCUUUAUCAGGUGACCUGGGCUAGACCUUUCCACAUAUAUACUGUAUUAUUGGUGCACAAUAUAUUUCUAUUCUAAAUUUUUGACUUUAUCAAAUUUAUAUUGCAGGAAAAAGGAUCAUGGAAUAACAUGCGAGGUGUAUAUUGUUGUUAGCAUUUGCUUAUUUUGAUGCAUUGUAUUUGCAUACAUAUACCAAGUUUUUCAUCAAAUACAUAUAUUGCAGAACAAUGGAUGAUCGAGUAGCACUCAAGAUGGCAAGGUGGUUGAGAUUUACGAACUGUUGUAUCUUGAGGACUCAUGAUGCAGUUGUAUGUCGAUACAUGUAGAUUUAUGACUAUUGCCAUAUCAUCCAGUGUAUCUAUCUAUGUAUGUCUCCUUAACUUCAACAUAUUUACGUUGAAUAAUUAUGGUUUAAUACAGG
RNAcentral lists this ribosomal RNA (1635 nucleotides) under Triticum aestivum (bread wheat). RNAcentral's name for it is "partial small subunit ribosomal RNA". Lineage: Eukaryota; Viridiplantae; Streptophyta; Magnoliopsida; Poales; Poaceae. The record is from RNAcentral.